Non-coding RNA from Pelobates cultripes (western spadefoot toad), 265 nucleotides. The record is from the annotation of a GenBank genome assembly. Lineage: Eukaryota; Metazoa; Chordata; Amphibia; Anura; Pelobatidae.
GUGGUCAUCUCUGCCGUGGUCCCAGUCCCUGCUGUGGCCCUCUCUGCCGUGGUCACAUUCCCUGCUGUGGCCCCAGUCCCUGCUGUGGCCCUCUCUGCCGUGGUUACAUUCCCUGCUGUGGCCCUCCCUUCCGUGGUCCCAGUCCCUGCCGUGGUCCUCACAAUAAUAAGGAUUGUAAGAAGUGUACACAGCAGCUGUAGCGGGCUAUAAAUCUAGCGGCACAUUUCUCUAAUUAUUAUGUAAUGCGCUGAUAAUUAACUUUGAG